This 253-nucleotide ribosomal RNA is filed under the name uncultured bacterium. RNAcentral's name for it is "partial 16S ribosomal RNA". It matches the Rfam family "Bacterial small subunit ribosomal RNA", at positions 524 to 776 of the family's 1533-position model. The record is from RNAcentral.
UACAGAGGUCCCAAGCGUUGUUCGGAUUCAUUGGGCUUAAAGGGUGCGUAGGCGGCGCGGUAAGUCGGGUGUGAAAUCUCGGGGCUUAACUCCGAAACUGCAUUCGAUACUGCCGUGCUUGAGGACUGGAGAGGAGACUGGAAUUUACGGUGUAGCGGUGAAAUGCGUAGAUAUCGUAAGGAAGACCAGUGGCGAAGGCGGGUCUCUGGACAGUUCCUGACGCUGAGGCACGAAGGCCAGGGGAGCAAACGGG